This 207-nucleotide ribosomal RNA is filed under the name uncultured delta proteobacterium. RNAcentral's name for it is "partial 16S ribosomal RNA". It matches the Rfam family "Bacterial small subunit ribosomal RNA", at positions 568 to 774 of the family's 1533-position model. Lineage: Bacteria; Deltaproteobacteria. The record is from RNAcentral.
CGCGUAGGCGGCCUAUUAAGUCAGAUGUGAAAGCCCGGGGCUCAACCCCGGAAGUGCAUUUGAAACUAGUAGGCUUGAGUAUGGGAGAGGGAAGUGGAAUUCCUGGUGUAGAGGUGAAAUUCGUAGAUAUCAGGAGGAACACCGGUGGCGAAGGCGACUUCCUGGACCAAUACUGACGCUGAGGCGCGAAGGCGUGGGUAGCAAACA